Molecule: ribosomal RNA, 443 nt
Filed under: uncultured bacterium
Lineage: Bacteria
Description: bacterial SSU rRNA
Rfam family: Bacterial small subunit ribosomal RNA
Source: RNAcentral
GAGCGGUAUUGUUUCUUCGGACACGAGAGAGCGGCGCACGGGUGCGGAACACGUGUGCAACCUGCCUUUAUCUGGGGGAUAGCCUUUCGAAAGGAAGAUUAAUACCCCAUAAUAUUUUGAAUGGCAUCAUUUAAAAUUGAAAACUCCGGUGGAUAGAGAUGGGCACGCGCAAGAUUAGAUAGUUGGUAGGGUAACGGCCUACCAAGUCAGUGAUCUUUAGGGGGCCUGAGAGGGUGAUCCCCCACACUGGUACUGAGACACGGACCAGACUCCUACGGGAGGCAGCAGUGAGGAAUAUUGGACAAUGGGCGAGAGCCUGAUCCAGCCAUCCCGCGUGAAGGACGACGGCCCUAUGGGUUGUAAACUUCUUUUGUACAGGGAUAAACCUUUCCACGUGUGGAAAGAUGAAGGUACUGUACGAAUAAGCACCGGCUAACUCCGUG